This 73-nucleotide transfer RNA is filed under the name Treponema sp. RNAcentral describes it as "tRNA-Ala". It matches the Rfam family "tRNA". Rfam says of the family: Transfer RNA (tRNA) molecules are approximately 80 nucleotides in length. Their secondary structure includes four short double-helical elements and three loops (D, anti-codon, and T loops). The record is from RNAcentral. Lineage: Bacteria; Pseudomonadati; Spirochaetota; Spirochaetia; Treponematales; Treponemataceae. RNAcentral also lists the same sequence under 1 other name.
GGGGCUGUAACUCAAUUGGUAGAGUGUCUGCUUUGCAAGCAGGAUGUUGUCGGUUCGAGUCCGAUCAGUUCCA